UAUAAAGUUAGUUCUAGCUUUUAUUUUUAGUUUUAAAUAUAGUAAAUAUAAAUUAUUGUGGGAUUUAUUUUUAAUUUUUAAAAUUAAAAAUAAUUUUAAUAUUUAAUUAUAGUAUUUAAUUUUAAAUAUUAAAGAAAUUUAAAUUUAGUAUUAUAAUAAAUUAUUGAUAAAAUUUGUGCCAGCAAUCGCGGUUAUACAAAUAAUAUAAAAAAUUUCUUUAAAAAUUAAUAAGUUAAUAAAUUUAAAUUAAAAAAAUAAUUGUUGGGUUAAAUUUUAAUUAAAGAUAGAUUUAAUUAUAUUUAUUUUAUGAAAUUAUAAAAUUUAGUUUUUAAACUAGGAUUAGAUACCCUAUUAUUAUAAAUAAAUAUUUAAUAACAAUGAAGUAUUAAUAGAUAUGUUCUUUAAACUUAAAGAAUUUGGCAGUAUUUUAUUAUAUUAGAGGAACCUGUUUAAUAAUUGAUAAUACACGAUUAAUUUUACUUAGUUUUUUAAUUUAUAUAUCGUCGUUAAAAAAAUAUUUUUAAAGAAUAAAUUUUUAAAUUUUAAUAAAAAAUUACAUCAGAUCAAGAUAUAGUUUAUAAUUAAGAAUAAAUGGGUUAUAAUAAAUAAAUUUAAAAGGAUUAUAAAUUAAAAUAAUUUAUAUAAAAGUAGAUUUAAUUGUAAUUUAAAUUAUUUAAUUUAAAUGAUUUUUUACUUAAAAUAUGUACAUAUUGCCCGUCGCUUUCAUUUUAAAUUUGAAAUAAGUCGUAACAAAGUAGAAGUACUGGAAAGUGCUUCUAGAA
Molecule: non-coding RNA, 782 nt
Filed under: Apsilochorema hwangi
Lineage: Eukaryota; Metazoa; Arthropoda; Insecta; Trichoptera; Hydrobiosidae
Source: RNAcentral